ACCAGCAGCGAUAUCACCCUGCAGCUGGCAACCCAGCAGGUGUGAGCCUGGUCAGUACCUGGAUGGGAGACCUCCUGGGAUAAACUAAGGUUGCUGCCGGAA
RNAcentral lists this ribosomal RNA (102 nucleotides) under Lepisosteus oculatus (spotted gar). The record is from RNAcentral. Lineage: Eukaryota; Metazoa; Chordata; Actinopteri; Semionotiformes; Lepisosteidae.